Molecule: small nuclear RNA, 137 nt
Organism: Artibeus jamaicensis (Jamaican fruit-eating bat)
Lineage: Eukaryota; Metazoa; Chordata; Mammalia; Chiroptera; Phyllostomidae
Product: U4 spliceosomal RNA
Exons: 1
Source: RefSeq, a predicted model, not a curated record
AGCUUUGCGCAGUGGCAGUAUCGUAGCCAAUGAGGUUUAUCCGAGGCGCGAUUAUUGCUAAUAAAAGCACCAAAUAUCAUGCAAAAUUAUUAUCCUUCAAGAGGAUAAUAAUAAUUUUCUACAAAGGCACACUUCCU